CCUACGGGAGGCAGCAGUGGGGAAUUUUGGACAAUGGGCGCAAGCCUGAUCCAGCAAUGCCGCGUGAGUGAAGAAGGCCUUCGGGUUGUAAAGCUCUUUUGUCAGGGAAGAAACGGUUGAGGCUAAUAUCCUCGGCUAAUGACGGUACCUGAAGAAUAAGCACCGGCUAACUACGUGCCAGCAGCCGCGGUAAUACGUAGGGUGCAAGCGUUAAUCGGAAUUACUGGGCGUAAAGCGUGCGCAGGCGGUUUUGUAAGUCUGUCGUGAAAGCCCCGGGCUUAACCUGGGAAUUGCGAUGGAGACUGCAAGGCUUGAAUCUGGCAGAGGGGGGUAGAAUUCCACGUGUAGCAGUGAAAUGCGUAGAGAUGUGGAGGAACACCGAUGGCGAAGGCAGCCCCCUGGGUCAAGAUUGACGCUCAUGCACGAAAGCGUGGGGAGCAAACAGGAUUAGAUACCCUGGUAGUCCACGCCCUAAACGAUGUCUACUAGUUGUCGGGUCUUAAUUGACUUGGUAACGCAGCUAACGCGUGAAGUAGACCGCCUGGGGAGUACGGUCGCAAGAUUAAAACUCAAAGGAAUUGACGG
RNAcentral lists this ribosomal RNA (585 nucleotides) under uncultured bacterium. Its description in RNAcentral is "bacterial SSU rRNA". It matches the Rfam family "Bacterial small subunit ribosomal RNA", at positions 338 to 916 of the family's 1533-position model. The record is from RNAcentral.